AGUCAGCGCUUGCGGUAUCGCGUACGCAUUCUACUCUGACGUCAUCACAGUAAUAACUUGCUCUUACGAGUGGCUAGUUUCGUACGUGUGAGGAAUACAUCUGAAUCUACUUUUUCUUGGGGGAUAACUUAGCUAAACUUUCGCUCAUACCGCAUACUACCUGCUGGUUAAAGCAUGAGAUCUUCGGUCCUUGCGCGUUUGAAUGACCCGAUGUCGGAUUAGCUAGUUUGCGUGGUAAAGGCCCACCAAGGCGACGAUCCGUAGCUGGUCUGCGAUGAUGAUGAGCCACAAUGGAACUGAGACACGGUACAGACUGAUACGGGAGGCAGCAGUGGGGACUAUUGGACCAUGGGCGCAAGCAUGAUCCAGCCAUACCGCGUGGGUCAAGAAGGACUUCGGGUUGUACAGCCCUUUUGUUGGGAAAGAAAAGCAGCAGGUUCACACCCCGCUGUUCUAACGGCACCCAAAGAAUAAGCACGGGCUAGCUUCGUG
This 492-nucleotide ribosomal RNA is filed under the name uncultured bacterium. RNAcentral describes it as "partial 16S ribosomal RNA". It matches the Rfam family "Bacterial small subunit ribosomal RNA", at positions 32 to 507 of the family's 1533-position model. The record is from RNAcentral.